CCCGCUGAACUUAAGCAUAUCAAUAAGCGGAGGAAAAGAAACUAACAAGGAUUCCCUUAGUAACUGCGAGUGAAGAGGGAACAGCUCAAAUUUAAAAUCUGGCUCUGUUUCGCUGUCCGAGGUGUUACCUAGAGAAGUGUAACCUGUGCUGGACCGUGUACGAGUCUCCUGGCAUGGCGCAUCACAGAGGGAGAGAAUCCCGUCUUUGACAUGGCACUGCCACUGCAUUGUGCUUGUCGUUCUCAACGAGUCGAGUUGUUUGGGAAUGCAGCUCUAAAUGGGUGGUAAAUUCCAUCUAAAGCUAAAUAUUGGCGAGAGACCGAUAGCGAACAAGUACCGUGAGGGAAAGAUGACAAGAACUUUGGAGAGAGAGUUAAACAGUAUGUGAAAUUGCUGAAAGGGAAACGCUCGAAGUCAGUCACGUCUGCCAGGACUCAGCCUUGCUUCUGCUUGGUGUACUUUCUGGUUUGAUGGGCCAACAUCAAUUUUGACCGUUGGAGAAAGGCUGUGGGAAUGUGGCACCUUCGGGUGUGUUAUAGCCCAUGGUGGUAUACAGCGGUUGGGAUUGAGGACUGCAGCACGCCUUUAUGGCCGGGGUUUUGCCCACGUCACGUGCUUAGGAUGUUGGCAUAAUGGCUUUAAGCGACCCGUCGUGAAACACGG
This 663-nucleotide ribosomal RNA is filed under the name uncultured fungus. RNAcentral describes it as "eukaryotic LSU rRNA". It matches the Rfam family "Eukaryotic large subunit ribosomal RNA", at positions 24 to 664 of the family's 3401-position model. The record is from RNAcentral. Lineage: Eukaryota; Fungi.